AUACGUAGGUGGCAAGCGUUGUCCGGAUUUAUUGGGCGUAAAGCGCGCGCAGGUGGUCCUUUAAGUCUGAUGUGAAAGCCCACGGCUCAACCGUGGAGGGUCAUUGGAAACUGGGGGACUUGAGUGCAGAAGAGGAUAGUGGAAUUCCAAGUGUAGCGGUGAAAUGCGUAGAGAUUUGGAGGAACACCAGUGGCGAAGGCGACUAUCUGGUCUGUAACUGACACUGAGGCGCGAAAGCGUGGGGAGCAAACAGGAUUAGAUACCCUGGUAGUCCACGCCGUAAACGAUGAGUGCUAAGUGUUGGGGGGUUUCCGCCCCUCAGUGCUGCAGCUAACGCAUUAAGCACUCCGCCUGGGGAGUACGGUCGCAAGACUGAA
RNAcentral lists this ribosomal RNA (377 nucleotides) under uncultured bacterium. RNAcentral's name for it is "bacterial SSU rRNA". It matches the Rfam family "Bacterial small subunit ribosomal RNA", at positions 523 to 898 of the family's 1533-position model. The record is from RNAcentral.